AGGGUUCGAUUCUGGCUCAGGAUGAACGCUAGCGACAGGCUUAACACAUGCAAGUCGAGGGGCAGCACGGGAGUAGCAAUACAACGUGGUGGCGACCGGCGCACGGGUGAGUAACGCGUAUGCAACCUACCUAUCAGGAGGGGAAUAACCCGGCGAAAGUCGGACUAAUACCGCAUAAAACAGGGGCACCGCAUGGUGAUAUUUGUUAAAGAAAUUCGCUGAUAGAUGGGCAUGCGUUCCAUUAGGUAGUUGGUGAGGUAACGGCUCACCAAGCCGACGAUGGAUAGGGGAACUGAGAGGUUGGUCCCCCACACUGGUACUGAGACACGGACCAGACUCCUACGGGAGGCAGCAGUGAGGAAUAUUGGUCAAUGGGCGGGAGCCUGAACCAGCCAAAGUCGCGUGAAGGAAGAAGGAUCUAUGGUUCGUAAACUUCUUUUGCAGGGGAAUAAAGUGCGGGACGUGUCCUGUUUUGUAUGUACCCUGAGAAUAAGGAUCGGCUAACUCCGUGCCAGCCGCCGC
RNAcentral lists this ribosomal RNA (522 nucleotides) under uncultured bacterium. RNAcentral describes it as "bacterial SSU rRNA". It matches the Rfam family "Bacterial small subunit ribosomal RNA", at positions 8 to 518 of the family's 1533-position model. The record is from RNAcentral.